GACGAACGCUGGCGGCGUGCCUAAUACAUGCAAGUCGAGCGGACCGGAUUGGGGCUUGCCUUGAUUCGGUCAGCGGCGGACGGGUGAGUAACACGUGGGCAACCUGCCCGCAAGACCGGGAUAACUCCGGGAAACCGGAGCUAAUACCGGAUAACACCGAAGACCGCAUGGUCUUCGGUUGAAAGGCGGCCUUUGGGCUGUACCUUGCGGAUGGGCCCGCGGCGCAUUAGCUAGUUGGUGAGGUAACGGCUCACCAAGGCGACGAUGCGUAGCCGGCCUGAGAGGGUGACCGGCCACACUGGGACUGAGACACGGCCCAGACUCCUACGGGAGGCAGCAGUAGGGAAUCUUCCGCAAUGGGCGAAAGCCUGACGGAGCGACGCCGCGUGAGCGAAGAAGGCCUUCGGGUCGUAAAGCUCUGUUGUGAGGGACGAAGGAGCGCCGUUCGAAGAGGGCGGCGCGGUGACGGUACCUCACGAGAAAGCCCCGGCUAACUACGUGCCAGCCGCCGCAGUAA
RNAcentral lists this ribosomal RNA (517 nucleotides) under uncultured bacterium. RNAcentral's name for it is "partial 16S ribosomal RNA". It matches the Rfam family "Bacterial small subunit ribosomal RNA", at positions 28 to 523 of the family's 1533-position model. The record is from RNAcentral.